GGCGGCGAGGCCGGGGGCUGUGGACCGGCCCGCCGGGGAGGGGCCAGGGAGAGGGGGGCGGCCCCUCGGUCAGCGCGGCCCGGAGGCCAGACCCGGUGCCCAGCUCCCCAGCGGGCGCCUGCCCUGGGCUGUAGUACGGGAGCCUCGGCAGUCUCGGGCGAGAGUUUCGGGAGAGGGUCCCGAGAUCCCGCCUUGCGGGGUUCGGAACCCGGCCCUGGCCCGCGACUCGGACCUACCCCGAGCAGGGCCCCGGUGAGGCCGCGGUGCCCCCGCUUUCAGAGCCCCGCCGCGCGCGGAACCGCAGGAGCAGGACGUCCACCGGCGGUUUGCGAGCGGCGGGCUCGGGAUUCUAGGCUUCUCCUAUUGUGACUAUUUGUAGUUUGUAAGUUUUUUUCUAGUGAACACUGUGGUGUUUUUUCAUUAAGAGCGGCGAUUUUUUCAAGGCGCCUGCAGAAGUUGAGCGGCCCGGCCCCGCAGUGUGAGCGGCCCCUUUCCAGACUGCUGGACUGCGCGUUCCUGGGCCCGGGACCCGGCUCCUCCUCCCUCGGCUCCCCGGCCGGCCCCGCCCCGCCCCCGCCCAUGCCCCGCCCUCCACUCCUGACCCCGCCCCUCCCCCGGCUGCGGCGAAAAUCCGGAGUGGCGGAUUGCCCUCUGCUCCGCGGGAGCCGGCUGUGGGCUCCUGCAGGAGCGGUGCCGGGGGUGCGGCUGACGCCGCUCGGCGCUCCCUCUUCUCACUCUGUCCUGGGCGAGCCACGCGGGGCAGCGCCGCGACCCCAGCCGCCGGCCCUGCCUCAGAAGCGGGUCAGGACCCGACUGAGCAUGCUCGCCCUCCAGCGCAGCGUGGCUCGACCAGGUGGACGCUGCCGGGACCCGGGGUCGGACCGCGCAGGGGAGGCGCAGGUGCGUGGUCCGGCCGCAGGUGCAGGGGACCUGGCUGGAAGGCGGGGGAGGGGCAUCUGGCCUGCAGGCUUGCCAGCCAGCCUGUCCCAGCUCUGCGUCUCUCCAGCUUCCUUCCUAAAUCACCACCACCACCUGCCCUAGGAGUGGAGCCCUUGGGUUGGAGCCAGCUGAUUGGAUGUGAGCUCUAAG
RNAcentral lists this long non-coding RNA (1089 nucleotides) under Sus scrofa (pig). RNAcentral describes it as "lncRNA (ENSSSCG00035051141.1)". The record is from RNAcentral. Lineage: Eukaryota; Metazoa; Chordata; Mammalia; Artiodactyla; Suidae.